CGCUGAACUUAAGCAUAUCAAUAAGCGGAGGAAAAGAAACCAACAGGGAUUGUCUUAGUAACGGCGAGUGAAGCGACAAAAGCUCAAAUUUGAAAUCUGGCACCUUCGGUGUCCGAGUUGUAAUUUGAAGAAGGUAACUUUGGAGUUGGCUCUUGUCUAUGUUCCUUGGAACAGGACGUCACAGAGGGUGAGAAUCCCGUGCGAUGAGAUGUCCAACUCUAUGUAAAGUGCUUUCGAAGAGUCGAGUUGUUUGGGAAUGCAGCUCUAAGUAGGUGGUAAAUUCCAUCUAAAGCUAAAUAUUGGCGAGAGACCGAUAGCGAACAAGUACAGUGAUGGAAAGAUGAAAAGAACUUUGAAAAGAGAGUGAAAAAGUACGUGAAAUUGUUGAAAGGGAAGGGUUUGAGAUCAGACUUGGUAUUUUGUAUGUCUUGCUUUCGGGUGGGGCCUCUGCAGUUUACUGGGCCAGCAUCGGUUUGGACGGUAGGAUAAUGACAUUGGAAUGUGGCACUACUUCGGUG
RNAcentral lists this ribosomal RNA (518 nucleotides) under Scheffersomyces shehatae. RNAcentral describes it as "eukaryotic LSU rRNA". It matches the Rfam family "Eukaryotic large subunit ribosomal RNA", at positions 26 to 551 of the family's 3401-position model. Lineage: Eukaryota; Fungi; Ascomycota; Pichiomycetes; Serinales; Debaryomycetaceae. The record is from RNAcentral.